Molecule: ribosomal RNA, 415 nt
Filed under: uncultured prokaryote
Description: bacterial SSU rRNA
Rfam family: Bacterial small subunit ribosomal RNA
Source: RNAcentral
GUGUCAGCAGCCGCGGUAAUACGUAGGUGGCGAGCGUUAUCCGGAAUUACUGGGCGUAAAGCGCACGCAGGCGGCUCUUUAAGUCUGACGUGAAAGCUCCCGGCUUAACUGGGAGAGGACGUUAGAAACUGAAGGGCUUGAGGCGAUGAGAGGGGUGCGGAAUUCCCGGUGUAGUGGUGGAAUGCGUAGAUAUCGGGAGGAACACCAGUGGCGAAAGCGGCACCCUGGCAUUGACCUGACGCUCAGGUGCGAAAGCGUGGGGAGCGAACGGGAUUAGAUACCCCGGUAGUCCACGCCGUAAACGAUGAACACUAGGUGUGGGUGGAGUUGAAUCUAUCCGUGCCGAAGCUAACGCGCUAAGUGUUCCGCCUGGGGAGUACGGCCGCAAGGCUAAAACUUAAAGGAAUUGACGGGG